CUGGUCUGAGGUAGUUGUUUGUACAGUUUGAGGGUCCGUGAUUCUGCCCGAUAAAGGAGCUAACUGUACAAGCCACUGCCUUGCCUAG
This is a non-coding RNA of Salmo salar (Atlantic salmon), 88 nucleotides long. Lineage: Eukaryota; Metazoa; Chordata; Actinopteri; Salmoniformes; Salmonidae. The record is from Rfam.